This 1220-nucleotide long non-coding RNA is filed under the name Olea europaea (common olive). Its description in RNAcentral is "long non-coding RNA (OEUR_LNC003137)". The record is from RNAcentral. Lineage: Eukaryota; Viridiplantae; Streptophyta; Magnoliopsida; Lamiales; Oleaceae.
GGACUGCUCUUUUACAUGUUGAUGUCCCAGAUAAGAUCAUUAGGAGAGACACACCUGAUGAUAGCUUUGCUGCCAAAUCUGCUUGGUAGUUAGUUCGAUCAGAAAGAUAGAUUCGGGAUUCAUACAGGCUGAUAUGGAGCAUUAUCAUACCUGGUUUGUUCGAUUUCAAUUGAUGUGAUUGUCCAGAUAAGAAUUGGUAGCCACAUGGCUUCUCAAUGCUAGUGUUGUUUGUAGAUUGAGACUAUCUCGCACACCUUCACAAAAAGUUCUAUCGUUGGCCUAUAUUCAGCGCUUCGAUGAUAUAUUUCUGAUGACUAUGAGGUCAGGUAAGAGAGUCAGACAUCGAUUCUAGAGAUGGAGAUAUUCUGGUCAACGCGUUCGUUAUUGUAACAUUCAGAUUAUCAUUUAGCUAUUAAUUUUCUGGUCUAUAUAGAUUGAGAGGAAUGAUGGGAAACACAUGGAUAUCCUUGUGGGCCUAGAAGGAUUAUCUGGAGAGUCUACUACAUGAUUUCAUUUUUUCAUACAAGUUGGUUUUUCGAACUAUACCUGGCAGGAAAAUUUAGCUCUUACCCCCCUAUUCGAUAUGUAUAUGACCUUACCUCCCUUAUCAUUCCCUCUAUUGGUUCUUUAAUGCACUCCAUUCAUGGGAUCUUAUAAAAUCAAUACUAGUGGAUGCUUUAAUGAUGUAUUUACUAAUGGUAGAGGUAUUAACUAGACGAAGUUGGACAAUGUAUCAGGGAAUUCUCCUUUCCCUAUGGUUCUUGCUUUAUUUUGGAGGCUGAGCUUCAAGCCAUAUUGGAUGGAAUUCUUCUAGCCAGAUGACUUGGGAUUUUAGAUAUUUGGGUUUAGGCUAUCUCCUAUGGCUAUUCACUAUAUUACUAGGGGUGAAGGACCAUAGGCAAUUCACUGUACUCUCAGACAUAUUAGACACAUCUUUAAUUUGAUCAUGACACUAUUUUCCAUAUCUACCAUGAUGAGAACUAGGUUGCAGAUUCACUUGUCUCAACAGGGCUAGGACAACCAUCACUACCAGAAGUAUGGAUCAUAUGACCUUUCUCAACGGCUCAGGGCACUUGUGCAGAUUGAUAGAUAUUGGUUGCUUAGUUUAGAGGUUUCUAGUUUAAGACUCACUUACUAUCAUUGUACUGAGAAUAGUACUCCUCAUUUACUGUUUUCUUACUGCUUUUACUACAUUGUUGAAUUGUUGAUUUAUGGAGAUC